GAGUAUGCGGCUUUGUGGCCUUGGCUUUGCAAAAGCCAAUGAGAAGAUUUCUUCCAUACUUU
RNAcentral lists this transfer RNA (62 nucleotides) under Fimbriaria fasciolaris. RNAcentral's name for it is "tRNA-Cys". The record is from RNAcentral. Lineage: Eukaryota; Metazoa; Platyhelminthes; Cestoda; Cyclophyllidea; Hymenolepididae.